Molecule: long non-coding RNA, 980 nt
Filed under: Homo sapiens (human)
Lineage: Eukaryota; Metazoa; Chordata; Mammalia; Primates; Hominidae
Description: non-protein coding lnc-RICTOR-2:1
Source: RNAcentral
UCAUGUCUUGGUUUGUUGAUCUUGCUGGAAAGACAGAAGAUCUUUUAAACUGAGUUGAUCAAGGGGCUGCAACAGCUCUCAGUAGGAAAGACACCACCACCAGCAACAUCAUAUAUAGCAAAAAUACUGACUAUACUGAACUUCACAGAAGUUCAAAUACAGAUUUGACAUAUCAGACUUGACCUGUAGCUACUUAUACUUCAUCAGCAACUGAUAACAUUUGAAAUCAAAAAGCCACCAUCUUAGCUGGCACUGCAAAUGUGAAAGUAAGAUCUAGGACACCAGUGGAGGCCUCUCAUCCUAUUGAAAAUUCAUCUGUUCCUAGGCCUUCAUCCCAAUUUGUGUGAACAAGAAAGUCAGAACCUGAUGAUGAGCUGCCCUUUAAUUUCCUUAAUAGUUCACAGAAGGAGCCUACUGGGAGGGUGGAAAUCAAAAAGGAAAAAGGAAAGACACCUGUCUUUCAGAGUUCUUGGACGUCAAGUGUUAGUUCUGUGAACCCCAGUAUAACCACCAUCAAAACCACUGAAGAAAAUUCUUUUGGAAAAUGCAUCAUCAAAUGCUGCCUGCACUGAGCACAUCCCAACACCUAAUGAAGAUGGCAAAUCACAUGAACUAUCUAACCUUCGACUCCUUGGUCUUUCAACUGGAGCACCUCAAACAGCAGAUGGACUCUGCCUCUGGAAGUAGUAGUAACGGGUCUUCGAUUAAUAUGUCUGAAAUUGUCAAUGGUGAAGGCACUCUUCUGUGAAAUGUUCCUGUUCUUUUUAAUGGCACAGAAACUAAUCUGGCAGGAAUGUACGGAAAAAUUCACAAAGCUAGUUCAAUUGACCGGUUUAGUAUUCGUCUGGGAAUUUUUCUCCAAAGAUACCCCAUAGCAUGAGUUUUUGUGAUUAUAUAUAUGGCUUGGCUUCACCUCUGGGUCAUGAUUGUUCUGUUGACUUAUACACCAGAAAUGCACCACGACCAACCAUAUGGCAAAU